AUAUUUAAUAAUUUUGAUUACGAUGUUUCAUUUUCAUCUUCAAAUCCCUCAAACGCUCCUUUUCCUUUUCUUUCCAUCUAAACUUGAACCAAAUUUAACUACUUCCACUGUAUUUGGUCCUCACCUCCAUGGUUUUUUGUGCCUAAUCCUUCUUGGUUUUUACUGUUUUUCCAUCCACAUUGAAUUCAACUCUAAUUCACUGAUUUUGGUGAUUUGAUGGGAUCGCUUGUAAAGGUACUACGAAUAAUACUCCAAAAGUCCGUUUGUUUCCCCUUUAUUUAUUAACUCAGGUUUUGAUCCUUGAGAGAGAGAGAGAGAGUGAGAGAGAGAGAGAGAUUGUACUAUAUAAAUCAAAGGUUGGUUUAAGAGAGUGGAGCCUGUAGGUGAAGAAGAUGAAGAGAUGGCGAUUAUGGGGUUGUUUCAAACGCUCAUUCCUCUUCCCCACUAAGCUGUUUUUCCUCAGACUAAACUCACACCUUCUCCAUAAGCCUAAAGGCAAUGGGAAUGCGCUACUAAGCCUCUACAAGGAUAUAGAGUCUUGCGGAGAGUACAGAGAUAUCCAAGUAAUGUGGGAUAUGAUUCAGUCCCACAAUGUCCAUGAAAACACAAGUAGAAGCUUAAGAAGAUGAUGAGAAGAGCUUUGGAUAGAUACCUGUUUUUUGAUUUCAUGGACAUUUGCAGCACAACCCUGCUGAUGUUGUUCAUAAUCUGCCAGGAAAGUUUGGUAAUUGUUUGGUUUUUACUCAUCAGUUGAAGAUGUUAACUGCGUGGGUUUUGGUCUGUUUUCUUGUUGUGUGGAUGGUCUGAUUUUUUGAUAAAAUUGGUCCUUGUUUUUAGCCAUUCAUUUGCAGAUACCACAUUGGACAAGAAUGUAAAGCCAAAAGCUUAUUUUGGGAGGAAACUAUUAGCUAUUAUACUUAUUAUAUUACAGAAUCAAAUUUAAUGAUUUAUAUCAUAUAUGUGUGCAUGCACCUACUUUUAAA
Long non-coding RNA from Cucumis sativus (cucumber), 983 nucleotides. RefSeq lists it as uncharacterized. The transcript has 3 exons. The record is from RefSeq and is a predicted model, not a curated record. NCBI's taxonomy places the organism in Eukaryota, Viridiplantae, Streptophyta, Magnoliopsida, Cucurbitales, Cucurbitaceae.